Long non-coding RNA from Bos taurus (domestic cattle), 775 nucleotides. Lineage: Eukaryota; Metazoa; Chordata; Mammalia; Artiodactyla; Bovidae. The record is from Ensembl.
CUGGAGGAAGAGGAAGGAAGUAGCCGUGAAGGUGCAGAUGAGCAAGUCCUGCCUUGCUCACCAUCGCACAGCAGUGCAAAAACACUCAGCGCUUCACCACACUCUGCUCCUCAUACACCAAACCCUGCGUUCACUCCUGCUGCCUGUCAAAGCCCACCUUUCCCACCAGUGACCUCCGCGAGGUGGUGAGGCGCUGAGGACUCAGAAGCCAGCCGUCCAGGUGACUGAGGCUCUGAACCCCGCUACGCUUGCAAGUCGGAGGGACGCUCUCCAAGGCUGACGGCUGCGAUUUCAGGCCACCAUCGAGUGGCGCGGGAGAGGCAGAACGAAAACCCGCUGCUCUCUUUCUCUCUCCGCCCUCAUCUCAGGCCCAGCCUGGUUAGGAAGACGUCUGUGGUUUAUGGGUGAGGCGAAGAAGUCUGAAUCCAGAAGUUGCAUGAUCUAUGGCAUCAAGCAGAGAAACCGAGUAACCGCCAUAAAGCCCCACGGCCUGCAGGCCUCCCUUGUCUCAGCCACCCCAGCCUCCCGGCAGCCCUGAGGGCCCUUUCCAAGGCUGGCGAUACAGCAGUGAACUUGCUCUUAUGGAACACAUACAUUCUACUGGCAAGAACCAAGAAACCAAAAACGUAAGCAGGAAAUUCACAGGUGAGGACACAAGAAGACGGUCAUCGAUGAACCAGGACGAAGAUUCUCAACAGACACUGAAUCUGCUGGCUCCUUGACCUUGGAGUCCCAGGCUCCAGAACUGAGAGAAAUAAAUGUUUUUUGUCUAAGC